RNAcentral lists this unclassified non-coding RNA (243 nucleotides) under uncultured Naevala. Its description in RNAcentral is "sequence contains 5.8S rRNA gene". The stretch from base 1 to 53 matches the Rfam family "5.8S ribosomal RNA", at positions 102 to 154 of the family's 154-position model. Lineage: Eukaryota; Fungi; Ascomycota; Leotiomycetes; Helotiales; Dermateaceae. The record is from RNAcentral.
GAACGCACAUUGCGCCCCGUGGUAUUCCGCGGGGCAUGCCUGUUCGAGCGUCAUUUCAACCCAUCAAGCUUCGGCUUGGUCUUGGGGCCUGCGGUUUCGCAGCCUCUAAACCCAGUGGCGGUGCCCUCGAGCUCUGAGCGUAGUAAUUCUUCUCGCUAUAGGGUCUCGGUGGUGUCUUGCCAAUAACCCCAAAUUUUUAUAAGGUUGACCUCGGAUCAGGUAGGGAUACCCGCUGAACUUAAG